UUAAGUUAUUAAGGGCGCACGGUGGAUGCCUUGGCACUAGAAGCCGAUGAAGGACGUUACUAACGACGAUAUGCUUUGGGGAGCUGUAAGUAAGCUUUGAUCCAGAGAUUUCCGAAUGGGGAAACCCAGCAUGAGUUAUGUCAUGUUAUCGAUAUGUGAAUACAUAGCAUAUCAGAAGGCACACCCGGAGAACUGAAACAUCUUAGUACCCGGAGGAAGAGAAAGAAAAUUCGAUUCCCUUAGUAGCGGCGAGCGAAACGGGAAGAGCCCAAACCAACAAGCUUGCUUGUUGGGGUUGUAGGACACUCUAUACGGAGUUACAAAGGACGACAUUAGACGAAUCAUCUGGAAAGAUGAAUCAAAGAAGGUAAUAAUCCUGUAGUCGAAAAUGUUGUCUCUCUUGAGUGGAUCCUGAGUACGACGGAGCACGUGAAAUUCCGUCGGAAUCUGGGAGGACCAUCUCCUAAGGCUAAAUACUCUCUAGUGACCGAUAGUGAACCAGUACCGUGAGGGAAAGGUGAAAAGCACCCCGGAAGGGGAGUGAAAUAGAACCUGAAACCGUGUGCUUACAAGUAGUCAGAGCCCGUUAAUGGGUGAUGGCGUGCCUUUUGUAGAAUGAACCGGCGAGUUACGAUUUGAUGCAAGGUUAAGCAGUAAAUGUGGAGCCGUAGCGAAAGCGAGUCUGAAUAGGGCGUUUAGUAUUUGGUCGUAGACCCGAAACCAGGUGAUCUACCCUUGGUCAGGUUGAAGUUCAGGUAACACUGAAUGGAGGACCGAACCGACUUACGUUGAAAAGUGAGCGGAUGAACUGAGGGUAGCGGAGAAAUUCCAAUCGAACCUGGAGAUAGCUGGUUCUCUCCGAAAUAGCUUUAGGGCUAGCCUCAAGUGAUGAUUAUUGGAGGUAGAGCACUGUUUGGACGAGGGGCCCCUCUCGGGUUACCGAAUUCAGACAAACUCCGAAUGCCAAUUAAUUUAACUUGGGAGUCAGAACAUGGGUGAUAAGGUCCGUGUUCGAAAGGGAAACAGCCCAGACCACCAGCUAAGGUCCCAAAAUAUAUGUUAAGUGGAAAAGGAUGUGGCGUUGCCCAGACAACUAGGAUGUUGGCUUAGAAGCAGCCAUCAUUUAAAGAGUGCGUAAUAGCUCACUAGUCGAGUGACACUGCGCCGAAAAUGUACCGGGGCUAAACAUAUUACCGAAGCUGUGGAUUGUCCUUUGGACAAUGGUAGGAGAGCGUUCUAAGGGCGUUGAAGCAUGAUCGUAAGGACAUGUGGAGCGCUUAGAAGUGAGAAUGCCGGUGUGAGUAGCGAAAGACGGGUGAGAAUCCCGUCCACCGAUUGACUAAGGUUUCCAGAGGAAGGCUCGUCCGCUCUGGGUUAGUCGGGUCCUAAGCUGAGGCCGACAGGCGUAGGCGAUGGAUAACAGGUUGAUAUUCCUGUACCCCCUAUAAUCGUUUUAAUCGAUGGGGGGACGCAGUAGGAUAGGCGAAGCGUGCGAUUGGAUUGCACGUCUAAGCAGUAAGGCUGAGUAUUAGGCAAAUCCGGUACUCGUUAAGGCUGAGCUGUGAUGGGGAGAAGACAUUGAGUCUUCGAGUCGUUGAUUUCACACUGCCGAGAAAAGCCUCUAGAUAGAAAAUAGGUGCCCGUACCGCAAACCGACACAGGUAGUCAAGAUGAGAAUUCUAAGGUGAGCGAGCGAACUCUCGUUAAGGAACUCGGCAAAAUGACCCCGUAACUUCGGGAGAAGGGGUGCUCUUUAGGGUUAACGCCCAGAAGAGCCGCAGUGAAUAGGCCCAAGCGACUGUUUAUCAAAAACACAGGUCUCUGCUAAACCGUAAGGUGAUGUAUAGGGGCUGACGCCUGCCCGGUGCUGGAAGGUUAAGAGGAGUGGUUAGCUUCUGCGAAGCUACGAAUCGAAGCCCCAGUAAACGGCGGCCGUAACUAUAACGGUCCUAAGGUAGCGAAAUUCCUUGUCGGGUAAGUUCCGACCCGCACGAAAGGCGUAACGAUUUGGGCACUGUCUCAACGAGAGACUCGGUGAAAUCAUAGUACCUGUGAAGAUGCAGGUUACCCGCGACAGGACGGAAAGACCCCGUGGAGCUUUACUGUAGCCUGAUAUUGAAAUUCGGCACAGCUUGUACAGGAUAGGUAGGAGCCUUUGAAACGUGAGCGCUAGCUUACGUGGAGGCGCUGGUGGGAUACUACCCUAGCUGUGUUGGCUUUCUAACCCGCACCACUUAUCGUGGUGGGAGACAGUGUCAGGCGGGCAGGUUGACUGGGGCGGUCGCCUCCUAAAAGGUAACGGAGGCGCUCAAAGGUUCCCUCAGAAUGGUUGGAAAUCAUUCAUAGAGUGUAAAGGCAUAAGGGAGCUUGACUGCGAGACCUACAAGUCGAGCAGGGUCGAAAGACGGACUUAGUGAUCCGGUGGUUCCGCAUGGAAGGGCCAUCGCUCAACGGAUAAAAGCUACCCCGGGGAUAACAGGCUUAUCUCCCCCAAGAGUUCACAUCGACGGGGAGGUUUGGCACCUCGAUGUCGGCUCAUCGCAUCCUGGGGCUGUAGUCGGUCCCAAGGGUUGGGCUGUUCGCCCAUUAAAGCGGUACGCGAGCUGGGUUCAGAACGUCGUGAGACAGUUCGGUCCCUAUCCGUCGUGGGCGUAGGAAAUUUGAGAGGAGCUGUCCUUAGUACGAGAGGACCGGGAUGGACAUACCUCUGGUGUACCAGUUGUCGUGCCAACGGCAUAGCUGGGUAGCUAUGUGUGGACGGGAUAAGUGCUGAAAGCAUCUAAGCAUGAAGCCCCCCUCAAGAUGAGAUUUCCCAACUUCGGUUAUAAGAUCCCUCAAAGAUGAUGAGGUUAAUAGGUUCGAGGUGGAAGCAUGGUGACAUGUGGAGCUGACGAAUACUAAUCGAUCGAAGACUUAAUCAA
This 2921-nucleotide ribosomal RNA is filed under the name Staphylococcus aureus. RNAcentral describes it as "bacterial LSU rRNA". It matches the Rfam family "Bacterial large subunit ribosomal RNA". Lineage: Bacteria; Bacillati; Bacillota; Bacilli; Caryophanales; Staphylococcaceae. The record is from RNAcentral.